CCAAUAACACGUGUCACAAUUUCAUAACAUAAAGUUAUCCUAAUCAAAGUGUUUUGCAGCGGAAAACGUGUGAGAUAUACAUAUGAAGAUGUAUACUCAAGGUUACAUUUCUUGAAAUGUCAAAGGAACACCCGCUCAACAUCAUUCCAUUCCAUCAACUGCUCAACCUGCACAUUUAGAAAUACAUGCAGGGCUGAGUAUAAAAAUACUCAGUGGGCAUAGCCGAAAAUACAACAUGCAUACAUAUAUAAAUUGAACUGCCAUAACAGUAACACACAGGGGUUUUCUUAAAUGACCUGCGCUUACUAAAAUAUUUCUUUCAUUUUCAUAAAGUCGAUCGGCCGAUCAUUUUCCUUCUAUAUGAUCCAUAUCUGUUCCUUUCUGUCACGCGCCGGGAAGGAGGCCUCCUUACCACGGACGCCAAGACCGGUCGCAAGCGACUCGCGGUCUCCAUGAGUGUACACGUUAACCCUAGCUAGCGACCUUUGUCUAGCAUAGGAUCCCAAUUGGAUUUCCUUUAAAGUUGGCGAACCAACACAGAUAGGAUACAUAUAAAAACAUAAACAUUUUUGGCAGUCAAUCAUUUCAUAAACAUUUCAUUUCAUUUCAUAAACAUUUCAUUUUCAUUUCAUAAGAGUCAUUUAUCAUUUGGGCAUAAUAAUAAACUGAAAUUAACAGUUAAAAUCAUCUCAUGCAUAUAUUCGUAUAAGAGGCCUACGACACGCAGGGGAUCUCUAUAUACGUAUAGUAAAAGUAAUGCCCACCUGGAUAGGCAAAGCCUGAAGAUCAUAAUCACAUAACCUGUCUUGGGAAAGCAGCGCUAAUCCCCCUGGUC
Molecule: long non-coding RNA, 835 nt
Filed under: Salvia miltiorrhiza (redroot sage)
Lineage: Eukaryota; Viridiplantae; Streptophyta; Magnoliopsida; Lamiales; Lamiaceae
Description: long non-coding RNA (SMIL_LNC001598)
Source: RNAcentral